GAAAAACCAAAAUUUUAAAAUUACAAACCGAAUCCAAUCCGAAAAACCAAAAAACCAAAAUCAAAAUUAAAUUUCGAUUUUUUUGGUUUAAACCAAAAUAUCCCCACCCCUAGGUGGAAGAAAGUAUGGUCAAGAAUAGAGAUGGAAUCCUAUUAGAAGAAGAUUUCCUAACAAAGGAUACCAGAAUGAAAAGGCUAUCACUCCUGAGAAGACAUGCAAUACAAAUCAAUUUCAAUCUCUAACAGAAGUGGAAAAAGAGAACAUAUAAGAGAUACUAAUAAUAUUAUUACAUCUGAUGAACCUCAACUUGUUAAUGAGAUGGUAAAGGGGAACUAUCCACCAAGGACUGGGUUGCCAUGUCAUUCCAUUGUAAAAGGAAAGAAAAUAUUAUGAAAAUCAACAGGCAGGAGGAAUCUGCAUAACAAAAGGAGAAAAACUUAAUAUAUGAUCAGAGGUAUAAUGUUGAAAUAAAGAACAAUUUACCUGAUAAUAGAGACCAGAGUCCAGUAGAUGAGAGAGAGCAUUUAUCCAUAAUAGGCAGCAACAUACAACUAACAAGAAAAAGAAAACAAAGAUCAGUUUACCAUCAAAAGUGAGUGUUUUAAUCAAAUUGAGAAAUCAGCAGAUAGAGAAGAUGCGUUUAAUCAAGAUCGGGAGAAUAAUAAACUUGACAUAGUUGACAUUCCAAUAGCAGUAGAAGAACAAGUUUGGAAUGGUAACUCAGAACCUCCCAAUAGUUGCAUAAUAUACUUACUCAUAAAGUAGGUGGUGUUGAGGAGAUUUGUGGUUUGUUAGAAGGGGGAGAGGAAGCAAACAUCAAACAUAUUCAAGAAGAGCAAAUUCGUAGUAGUAGAUUCAUCACCUAGAGCCGUUAAAUCUAUCAAGCAAUCAAAGAUAGGAAAAGAGUAAAGUAAUUGGGAGAAGACACUACCUUGCAGGUCUCAACCUAUGAGAGGGGGUGUAAACCAAUAGUUUUCUUUUAUAGCUCAUUUAGAACCAUUCCUGCCAGUCGGAUACAUAAAUAAAUGACUGCAAAAGCCUCUCAUGUUUCAUAAUUGUAAUGGUAAAGUUUGGUUUUAUGUGAAUAAGGGUUUUGAUGUUACGAUAAAAGAGAGAUACAGGACAAUUACUCUCUUUUCAAAUAUAUGACUAUGCCCUCCUGCUGACUCUAAUUUAUACAUGUGAUAGAAAUCAAAGAUUAGACCUUUAGGACAAUAUCUUUUCUAUACCCAAUGAAAGCUCAGGCCCUUGGUUCAUAGGAAGGGAUUUCAAUGCUAUCUUAAAUGCCUCAGACACAAUUAGAGGUUUGCCUAUUACUACUGCAGAAAUAGAGGACUUCAAACAUUAUGUUGAAUCUCGUGAUCUCAUUCAAGUUCAACAUAAGGGUAGCUAUUUACUUGGUGGAAUGGGAGAGCUAGGGAUGACUGUAAUUUUUUGAAAUUAAACAGACUUUUAUGAUGCUGGUUUUCAAAAUAUGUUUAAUUUAGAAGAGGUGGAACAUUUGGCUAGAGAUGAUUUUGAUCAUACUCUUUUAUUCGUAAGAUGUGAAAAUACUGCAGUUAGAUUCCAAAAACCUUUCAAAUUCCUAAAAUAUUGUAUUGAGCAUGUAAAUUUUAAGAAAGUAGUCAGAAUAUAGGGAUAGCGACGGUAGGCUGAGGGUUGGGUCUUGGAAUAUAGGGACCCUUCAGGGGAAGUCCAUAGAGCUGGUGAAGAUUCUUAGGAAGAGAAGGAUCAACCUUGCGUGUGUCCAAGAGACCAAGUGGGUAGGGUCCAAGGCUAGGGAUGUGGACGGUUACAAGCUGUGGUACUCUGGGAGCGACAGGCGUAGGAAUGGAGUUGGCAUCUUGGUAGAUGAAGAGCUUAGAGGUCAGGUAGUGGAGGUGAAGAGGAUCAACGAUAGGUUGAUGACUAUUAAGUUGGUCAUUCGGGGGUUUACCCUGAACGUGUGUAGUGCCUAUGCGCCGCAUGUGGGAUCGGAGGGGGAGGAGAAGAUGCGGUUCUGGGAGGCCUUGGAGGACGUGGUGAGAGGCGUGCCCAGUUCGGAGAAGAUUGUGGUAGCAGGGGAUUUCAACGGGCACAUCGGGGCGCUACCGGGAGGCUUUGGGGAUGUGCAUGGAGGUUUUGGUUUUGGGGAGAGAAAUGAAGAGGGGGCGACCCUAUUGGAGUUUGCGAGGGCGUUUGGGCUGGUGGUGGUGAACUCGGGCUUCCCGAAGAAGGACGACCACCUGAUCACUUUUCGGAGCGCGGUAGCCAGGACCCAGAUUGACUUCUUGUUGCUUAGGAAAGGGGAUAGGGCGCUGUGUAAAGAUUGUAAAGUCAUCCCGAGUGAGAACCUUUCGACCCAACAUAGGCUCUUGGUUAUGGAUUUGGGUAUGAAGAAGAAUAAAAAGAGGAGGAGUAAGGAGUGUAGACCGAGAAUUAAGUGGGGCGGUUUGACGCCAGUGAAUGCGUGGGAGAUAGGGGAGAGGUUGGCGGGAAUGGGGGUGUGGGAGUGUAGGGGGGACGUGGAUAAUAUGUGGGACAGGGCGGCAGCGUGCAUCAGGGAAAAUGCAAGGGAGGUGUUGGGUGUUUCUAGGGGCCGGGCCGGACAUCAUCGGGGGGAUUGGUGGUGGAAUGAAGAGGUGGGGAAGAAAGUGGAGACCAAGAAAGAGUCGUAUGCUAAGUUGGUGGAAAGUAAGGACGAAGAGGAGAAGCGGGUAAACAGGAAAGAGUACAAGCUAGCAAGGAAGGAGGCGAAGUCAGCGGUCACGGCAGCUAAGACGGCUGCUUUUGAGAGCUUGUAUGCAGGGUUACAGGGGAAAGGAGGGGAGAAAAAGUUGUUCCGACUCGCUAAGGCUAGGGAGAGGAAGGGUCGUGACCUCGAUCAGGUGCGGUGCAUUAAGGGGGAGGACGGUAGAGUGUUGGUGGAGGACGGCCACAUAAAGAAGAGAUGGCAGUCGUACUUUCAUAGGCUCUUGAAUGACGAGGGGGACAGAGCUAUUGUGUUAGGGGAACUGGAGCACUCAGGGGAGUGUCGGGAUUUUAGCUAUUGUAGACGUUUUAAGGUAGACGAGGUUAGACAGGCAGUCCGCAGGAUGCGAAGGGGUAGGGCGACGGGGCCGGAUGAGAUACCGGUGGAGUUUUGGAAGUUCGUUGGAGAGGCUGGUGUAAGGUGGUUGACUGCAUUGUUCAAUGAAAUUUUCAGGACAGCAAAGAUGCCCGAGGCGUGGAGGUGGAGUACCAUGAUCCCCCUCUAUAAGAAUAAGGGGGACAUUCAGUGUUGCAAUAACUAUAGGGGGAUUAAGUUACUGAGUCACUCUAUGAAGAUCUGGGAGAGAGUGGUCGAGGUGAGGCUGAGACGGAUAGUGUCUAUCUCGGAAAACCAGUUCGGAUUUAUGCCCGGCCGCUCGACGACGGAGGCAAUUCACCUGGUACGGCGGUUGGUGGAGCAAUAUAGGGAAAGGAAGAAGGAUUUGCACAUGGUGUUCAUCGACCUAGAAAAGGCGUACGACAAAGUCCCCAGGGAGGUGCUUUGGAGAUGCUUGGAGGUGAGUGGAGUACCGCAGGCAUAUAGCAGAGUAAUUAAGGAUAUGUAUGAGGGAGCGAAAACCCAGGUGAGGACGGCGGGAGGAGACUCAGAGCAUUUCACUGUCCUGACAGGAUUGCAUCAGGGAUCUACUCUUAGUCCCUUUUUGUUUGCGCUAGUAAUGGAUGUGUUAACGCGGCGUAUCCAAGGGGAGGUGCCGUGGUGUAUGCUUUUUGCAGACGAUGUAGUCCUGAUAGAUGAGACGCGAGGGGGUGUGAACGACAAAUUAGAGCUGUGGAGGCAAACUCUGGAGUCUAAAGGGUUCAGGGUGAGCAGAACCAAGACAGAGUAUGUGGAAUGUAAGUUUAAUGACGUAAGGCGAGAGAAUGAGGUAGUGGUGAGGCUAGAAGCGCAGGAGGUAAAGAAAAGGGAUAAGUUCAAGUACCUCGGGUCCGUGAUCCAGAGUAACGGUGAGAUUGACGAGGAUGUCUCGCACCGUAUCGGGGCGGGAUGGAUGAAGUGGAAACUUGCAUCGGGGGUGCUGUGUGAUAAGAAGGUGCCGCCCAAGCUUAAAGGUAAAUUCUAUAGGGUGGUAGUCCGUCCGGCCUUGCUGUAUGGAGCGGAGUGUUGGCCAGUUAAGAACUCCCACACCCAAAGAAUGAAGGUGGCAGAAAUGCGGAUGUUGCGCUGGAUGUGUGGACUGACCCGAAGGGAUAGAGCUCGGAAUGAGACUAUCCGGGAGAAGGUUGGGGUGACUUCAGUGGAGUGUAAGAUGCGGGAAGCACGAUUGAGAUGGUUCGGACACGUGAAGAGGAGGGGCAUGGAUGCCCCGGUCCGUAGGUGUGAGAGGCUAGCGUUGGAUGGUUUUAGACGGGGUAGGGGUAGACCGAAGAAGUACUGGGGUGAGGUGAUUAGGCGGGACAUGGAACAGUUACAGCUUACCGAGGACAUGUCCCUAGAUAGGAAGGGCUGGAAGACGCGAAUUACGGCAGAGGAUUAGGGCCUGUUCGGGUCGCUAAUGUAGGGAGGUAAUUGGUGGGGGUGUAUUCCUGGUAUGAUUCCGUAUUCAAUGUUCUGUUCCGUGUUCCGUGUUCUAUGUUUGUUACGAAUCUGUGUGCUUUCCUCUGCUUUAUAUUCCUGCAAUCCUGCUUUACUCUGUUUUAUAUUCAUUAUGGGUGCCGUAUCUAUGUUAUGUCAUCUGCUUCUGUGCUGUACUAUGUGUUUGUUUGAUAUCUCGUAACUUGAGCCGGGGGUCUUUCGGAAACAGCCUUUCUACUUCAUCAGAGGUAGAGGUAUGGACUGCGUACAUCUUACCCCCCCCAGACCCCACAAAGUGGGAAUACACUGGGUUUGUUGUUGUUGUUGUUGUUGUAGUCAGAAGGAACUGGGAUGCAGAAUCUACUGAUAAUCCUUUCAUGAUUUUCAAAAGGAAAAUCAAAAAGGUAAAAAAAGACCUUUCUGAGUGGAGUAGGCAGACAUUUGGGGAUAUAUUUCAACAAUUGAUAAUUAGGGAGGAAAUUGCUAAGUUGAAGGAAAAGUUAUUCAAAGAAUUCCCUUCAUAAGAAAAUUCAUCUAUCAUGUAGAAAGCAAGGGCUGAAUAUAUCAAGUAUCUUCAGUUAGAGGAAAGCUUCUGGCAACAAAAGGAUGGGUAUGGCUGGUUUAAGAGUGGAGAUAGAAAUACUAAGUUCUUUCAUAGUAUUGUCAAAGGAAGUAGCCACAGACUUAAGAUUACUAGAAUUCCCAAUGAAGUUGGCUGUUGGUUAGAAGAUGAAGCUUAGAUUGCUAAUGAGGCUAUAAAUUUUUAUCAGUAGUAGUAGUAGUUCACACAGGAGAGAGAUGCCACAAAUUUCCCUUUACUUGAUCAUAUUCCUGAUUUAAUUAUUGAAGAUGAUAAUUUGGUACUGGAGUCUAUCCGAGAUGAAAAAGAAAUUAAACAGGUUGUAAUUAAGUUAAAUAGGGACAAUACUAGUGGACCUGAUGGCAGGUUUUAUCAGGUUUGUUGGGACAUUAUUGGUGGAGAUGUUAUAAGAUUGGUUUGAGCUUCUUUGCCAGUAACACUCUUCGUAAAUCUAUUACUCAUACUAAUUUUAUUCUUAUACCUAAAAAGUACAAUGUGCAAUCCUUUUCAGAUUUGAGACUAAUUAGUCUUAGUUACUUUGUGAAUAAGAUCUUUUCUAGGAUUGUGCAUGAUAAAUUGGAAAGUAUUUUACCUAGAUUAACUUUCCCUAAUCAAUCAGGCAUUAAGAACUGAUCAGUAAUAUAGGGAAAAGAGAAAAGCAUUCUAAUGUGGUUUUAAAGCUAGAUAUGGCUAGAUAAAGCCUAUGAUAGGAUUUCUUGGUUUUUCUUGAUGAAAGUUUUGAAGGAAGUGGGCUUUCCUAAUUGAGUGAUUGAUGUUAUUUGGAGGUUGAUUUCAAAUACUUACUACUCUAUUUUAUUAAAUGGACAGUCAGUCGGUUUUUUUCACUCUACUAGAGGAGUUAAACAAGGAGACCCACUGUUCCCUGCACUCUUUAUUGUCUGUUGAAGUGAUGACAAGGGCUUUUAACCAGUUAUUUGAUGAUAACUCUUAUGUGGGGUAUGGUAUGCCUAAGUGGAGCUCUAAUUUAAAUCAUCUUACUUGUGCAAAUGAUACUUCGUCUUUUCAUCUUCUAAUGAUUAUUCUAUUAAAAAGAUAAAGAUUUUGCAAGAGUAUGAGCUUGAAUCUAGUCAAAAGGUGAAUAGGGAUGAGUUUUUCUACAUGCAUCAAAACACUCCUCCUAAUAUGGUGCAUCAGGUGGAACAAGUUACAAGGAUGAAUAGAGGCUCAUUUCCUCUAAAAUAUCUUGGAUGCCCUUUAACUCAUUCCAAGAAGAAAAAGGAGCAUUACGCUGAAUUGAUAGACAAUGUAAGUAAGCUACAAGUUUGGAUGGGCAGUUUGUUAAACUUCUUAAAAGUGUGCUUAAUACUUAAGAGUAUCCCAUUAUAUCUUAUAUCAGCAGUUGUCCCUCCAAAAAGUGUUCUUAAGGAAGUUCAGAAGAUCUUUACUAAAUUCUUUUAGCAGAAUAAAGAAAAAGGAAAAAGUAAACAUUGGGUUACUUGGAAUAAACUUUGUUUCACUAAGCAGGAAGGAGACUUGGGAUUUAGGUCCCUGACAAAUGUGUCUCAAGCUAUGCAUGCAAAGUUAUGGUGGAGAUUUAGAACUCAAGAGUAACUUGUGGAUAAAUUUUUGUGUGGAACAAGUACUGCAAGAAACAGCUGCCAGCACUACUGCAAUGGAGAGGUGGGUCCCAAGAGUGGAAGGCUAUGUUGAACAAUAGAGACAAAAUAAACAGUGUUUAUAGUGGGAGUCUAGAGGUGGAACAUCUACUACUUGGUUUGACAAUUGGACAACCACCGGUCCACUAUUUAUGCAGCAAUCAAAAGUGCAAACAUGUAACCCAUAGACUAACAUCUCAGAGUUCCUUAAUGCAGAUGGUUGGAACUAUGAAAUUAUGCAGGAUAUGGUGUCAGAUCAAGUAGUAAGUCGUGACAGAGAUAAUAUGAAUUUUGUAUGCUAUGAAGACAAAAUGGAUAAACCCUGGUGGAUCAUGAAUAGUACAGGUAAUUCACUACUAAAAGUGCUUGGGAUCUACUUAGGCAAAAAGCUGAUGAGGAUGUGGAUUUAAAGGCAAUCUGGAAUAAAGGAUUACCAUUUAAAUUGUCAUUAUUAAUCUAGAGUAUAUGGCUAGGUAUGAUCCCAGUUUCUACUUUGAUGCACAACUGGAUUCCAAAGAUUAUAGAGAGUUGGGUUUGUUGUAGCAAUCCAGAAAGAGAAACAAUUAUCCAUUUUUCCUUAAAGUGGAGGUUGUUGAAAGACUAUGGAGUCACUACUGUGUAGCAACUGAUUUAGUGGAGCAGAGAUUAAACUUGAAACAAAGUGUAAGAAUGUGGAGAAAUCAUGGUCAUAAUUGUAGAAUGAAGACUGUAUUCACUAUUGUACCUAUUAUCAUCCUUGGGUUCUUAUGGAAAAGAAGAAACAAUGUAUUAUUACAUAAAGGUGCCUAUCAUGACAGGAAGAUCAUCUGGGAAGUCAAUGAUACUAUUUUUAAAUCCAUAAAGGUUAGGUUCAGAAUGGAGAUAACAGGUAGAAAAUGGGAUAACAUAGUUGAUGAAAUUCAGAGCUACAGAACUUACCUUCUUUUAAGUUGGUUAAAUAGAUUCUUCCUAAAACUGGAUGGCUAAAUGGUAAAACUGAUGAUGCCUCUAAAGGCAAUCCUGGACCCAGCUCUAUUGCAUUUUGCAUAAGAGAUGAAGAUGGAGAUAUCGUGGUAGCAAAAGGAUCCAAAAUUAAGGAUACUACUACUUUGGUGGCAGAAGUUAUAGCUAUAAUAGCCACGUAAAUAAUUUUGGAAAGUGAUUCUUAGAUCAUGGUGCAAAUUCUUAAUCAAUAAUGGGAAGCCCCAUAGAGUGUGAUUGUGACUGACAAGUUAAUGCUAGGAAGUGACAUAAAGAAGACAAGUUAAUGCUAGAAAAUGACAGAUGGAAGAUUAGAUAUCUUUCUUAAUUCAUUUACGUAAAUUAUUAGUUACUUUUUGACUUUUUGGCAAAAUGUCAUUACUAAGUUUUGUCCUUUUGUAGAAAUAAUUUAGGACCUUUGUGCGGGGUGCGGAUGCCAUUACUUUUUUCUACUUUCACAGAUAGGUGUAAAGAUUGUAGGGGGUGCGGAUAACUUGUGUGCUAAAAUAGGUGCGGAUAACUUGUGUGGUAAAAUAGAUCUAUUAUAAAUACAAUGGAUCUAUUUUUAUUUUUGCAUGGAUAUUUCUUAACUUCUCUAAAUAUUUUUAUUUUGAGUUUAUUUAUGUUAGUUUUAUCGAUAUUCAGA
This 8345-nucleotide long non-coding RNA is filed under the name Capsicum annuum. Its description in RNAcentral is "long non-coding RNA (CANN_LNC013772)". Lineage: Eukaryota; Viridiplantae; Streptophyta; Magnoliopsida; Solanales; Solanaceae. The record is from RNAcentral.